RNAcentral lists this ribosomal RNA (468 nucleotides) under uncultured bacterium. Its description in RNAcentral is "bacterial SSU rRNA". It matches the Rfam family "Bacterial small subunit ribosomal RNA", at positions 917 to 1382 of the family's 1533-position model. The record is from RNAcentral.
GGGCCCGCACAAGCGGUGGAGCAUGUGGUUCAAUUCGACGCAACGCGAAGAACCUUACCUGGGUUGGAACCCCCCAGAAGUCCGCAGAGAUGUGGAUGUGCCCGCAAGGGAACUGGGUGUCCAGGUGCUGCAUGGCUGUCGUCAGCUCGUGUCGUGAGAUGUUGGGUUAAGUCCCGCAACGAGCGCAACCCUUGUCGUUAGUUGCUAACAGUUCGGCUGAGCACUCUAGCGAGACUGCCGGUGUUAAACCGGAGGAAGGUGGGGAUGACGUCAAGUCCUCAUGGCCCUUAUGCCCAGGGCUACACACGUGCUACAAUGGCCGGUACAGAGCGUCGCUAACCCGCGAGGGGGAGCCAAUCGCAAAAAACCGGCCUCAGUUCAGAUUGCAGUCUGCAACUCGACUGCAUGAAGUCGGAAUCGCUAGUAAUCCCUAAUCAGCAGGUAGGGGUGAAUACGUUCCCGGGCCUU